AUCCAUCCUACACAUUAGAAAGAAUAAGUGUAGUUCAUUGUAUGCUGAGUAAAGAAAUAGAGAAGCAAAGAGGUUUUGUUUAUCCCCAGGAAAGAAAGAUGGAGAAUUCCAUAAACUGCUUAAAAGAAGGAAGAUAAAAGUUUGAAAUGUCGAGAGUGUGUUUUAUAUCACACGUGAGCACUGCAUAGCAUAGAAGUUUUCAACCACUUUAAUUUUGCCCACAAAGAAGGCCAAGACACUUUCUGUAUCUGCAUAAUUUGAUAACAUCAGGCACUGUUACUGGAGAACUUUCAACUACUCUGGGUAAUGCCAAAGAUACAUUUCACUAAAACAGUAAUUAUGCUUCUGGACCUUUGCCUGGUAAAAUGGAAAAGAUAUAAAAUAUGUGCCUAGAAACUAAGAAGACCCCUCACAAACUAGGAAAAAUGGGGUCGGAGAGAAUAUCUCAAGGGUGCCUGGAAGAGGAUGACAUUGGUAUCUUAAUCUUAAAUUAGAUGUCUUUUCCCAUGGCAGCCUUACAGCUCUACUCCACAAUUAGGUAAGCAGUGGUGGGGCAAAUUGAAA
RNAcentral lists this long non-coding RNA (564 nucleotides) under Vulpes vulpes (red fox). RNAcentral's name for it is "lncRNA (ENSVVUG00000020161.1)". Lineage: Eukaryota; Metazoa; Chordata; Mammalia; Carnivora; Canidae. The record is from RNAcentral.